CGUAAAUAAUCUACCCUGGUGUUUGGGAUAACCAGCCGAAAGGCUGACUAAUACCGGAUAUAUGAUUUUCUGUUGGGAGAAUCAGGAAAGACGGCCUCUUCAUGAAAGCUAUCGCAUUGGGAUGAGUUUGCGUACCAUUAGCUAGUUGGUGGGGUAAUGGCCCACCAAGGCAACGAUGGUUAGCGGGUCUGAGAGGAUGAUCCGUCACACUGGCACUGGAACACGGGCCAG
RNAcentral lists this ribosomal RNA (231 nucleotides) under uncultured bacterium. RNAcentral describes it as "partial 16S ribosomal RNA". It matches the Rfam family "Bacterial small subunit ribosomal RNA", at positions 116 to 334 of the family's 1533-position model. The record is from RNAcentral.